GCAUCACCAUGCGCAAGACGGCGGGCAAGCCCAAGGUGGCGGCGUCCAGCAGCCCGUGGUACGGCUCCGACCGCGUGCUCUACCUCGGCCCGCUCUCCGGCGACCCCCCGAGCUACCUCACCGGCGAGUUCCCCGGCGACUACGGCUGGGACACCGCGGGCCUCUCCGCCGACCCCGAGACCUUCGCCAAGAACCGGGAGCUGGAGGUGAUCCACUGCCGCUGGGCCAUGCUCGGCGCGCUCGGCUGCGUCUUCCCGGAGCUGCUCGCCCGCAACGGCGUCAAGUUCGGCGAGGCCGUGUGGUUCAAGGCCGGCUCCCAGAUCUUCAGCGAGGGCGGCCUCGACUACCUCGGCAACCCCAGCCUGGUGCACGCGCAGAGCAUCCUCGCCAUCUGGGCCUGCCAGGUGGUGCUCAUGGGCGCCGUGGAGGGCUACCGCGUCGCCGGCGGCCCGCUCGGCGAGAUCGUGGACCCGCUCUACCCCGGCGGCAGCUUCGACCCCCUGGGCCUCGCCGAGGACCCCGAGGCGUUCGCGGAGCUCAAGGUGAAGGAGAUCAAGAACGGCCGCCUCGCCAUGUUCUCCAUGUUCGGCUUCUUCGUGCAGGCCAUCGUCACCGGCAAGGGGCCCCUGGAGAACCUCGCCGACCACCUCGCCGACCCCGUCAACAACAACGCCUGGGCCUUCGCCACCAACUUCGUCCCCGGCAAGUGAGCGCGGUCAGCUCAACCUCUAGGCCGACAACUUCAUGGCUGAUGGAUGCUGCUGCAUGUGUGUCGUCGUCGAUCUCUGCUUCUUCCCGUUGUGAGAUUGAGUAGUCCGGACUGAUAGAUGUUGCAUGUGAGGGCGAGUCGAGAUGAGGAGUUGGUGUGUGUACACUAAGAUGGUGUUUGUGUAAUAUCUGGCUAUUUUCUCAGAUUAAUCAAGGCAUCUCUGUUCUUCUGCUUAACUUCUUGGUUUCUCUGAACUUCUGAAUGUCAAAUACAGAAGUUCUCCGAAUAUUUUUCUGGAAGUCCAACCAGCUAAAGUAUUCAAAUUCAUA
RNAcentral lists this long non-coding RNA (1038 nucleotides) under Triticum aestivum (bread wheat). Its description in RNAcentral is "long non-coding RNA (TAES_LNC007755)". Lineage: Eukaryota; Viridiplantae; Streptophyta; Magnoliopsida; Poales; Poaceae. The record is from RNAcentral.